Oncorhynchus tshawytscha (Chinook salmon) is the source of this 1147-nucleotide long non-coding RNA. The record is from Ensembl. NCBI's taxonomy places the organism in Eukaryota, Metazoa, Chordata, Actinopteri, Salmoniformes, Salmonidae.
UGGGAUCCUGGGUGCCUCACCGGAUGGUCUGGGAUCCUGGGUGCCCCUCACCAGAUGGUCUGGGAUCCUGGGUGCCUCACCGGAUGGUCUGGGAUCCUGGGUGCCCCUCACCAAACGGUCUGGGAUCCUGGGUGCCUCACCGGAUGGUCUGGUGGUGGAGGUCAAGUGUUCCUAUGGUGCCUAAAAGGGACCUGACCAUUGAAGAGGAGGUCGAAUGAUUUCUAUAUCCAAGCGGAGGGAAGGUCUUACUGCCUCUGUGACGACCAUCCUUCCUGGCACCAGGUCCAAGUCCAAGGUCAGUUCCACAUCACCGGAAGGGACACCUGCUUCUUCGUUAUCGUGGACCACCACAGCCUCCCGUCCAGCGUGACGACCUCUGGCACACUCAUAUUGCUGGACUAGAGAAGUGUUUCAAGGACCACAUGCUCCCAAAGGCAGCACUGCAACAGUGAACUGUAGAUUUAUUGUAAAUAGGUUUUACAACAGUGAACUGUAGAUUUAUUGUAAAUAGGUUUUACAACAGUGAACUGUAGAUUUAUUGUAAAUAGGUCUUACAACAGUGAACUGUAGAUUUAUUGUAAAUAGGUUUUACAACAGUGAACUGUAGAUUUAUUGUAAAUAGGUUUUACAACAGUGAACUGUAGAUUUAUUGUAAAUAGGUUUUACAACAGUGAACUGUAGAUUUAUUGUAAAUAGGUCUUACAACAGUGAACUGUAGAUUUAUUGUAAAUAGGUUUUACAACAGUGAACUGUAGAUUUAUUGUAAAUAGGUUUUACAACAGUGAACUGUAGAUUUAUUGUAAAUGGUUUUACAACAGUGAACUGUAGAUUUAUUGUAAAUAGGUUUUACAACAGUGAACUGUAGAUUUAUUGUAAAUAGGUUUUACAACAGUGAACUGUAGAUUUAUUGUAAAUGGUUUUUAAACACUGUCACUGGAUCAUCAUUCUCGUCACGGGCCUCGUCCUCCUGUCAGUACCUGCUUUCAGGGAAGACGAUGGUCCAAAAAUAUUCCACAUAGUUCAUACACACACACGAGACUCCCAGAAUAAUGUAUAUUACACACACUAGACUCCCAGAAUAAUGUAUAUUACACACACUAGACUCCCAGAAUAAUGUAUAUUACACACACUAGACUCCCAGAAUAAU